AUGGGGAAAUCACGUGGCGGCGGGACAUGCUUUUACAUCAAUGAAAGGUGGUGUACAGAUGUAACAGUGUUAAAGAAGAUGUGCUGUUCAGAUCAAGAAACACUCUUCAUUAACUGCAAGCCGUUCUAUUCACCGCAGGAGUUUCACUCGUUCAUUCUGGUGAGUGUUUACAUUCCACCGCAAGCGCACGUGAGCUCAGCUUUACAGAAACUCGCUGAUCAGAUCACAGAGACAGAACAACAACACCCAGACUCUGUUUUAAUCAUUCUUGGGGACUUUAAUAAAGCAAAUCUCUCGGCAAAAUACAGACAGCACAUCACAUGUUCCACUAGAGACACCCCCACUCACCAUCAUAGACAGCACUGUGACUGCGGUGGAGUCAUUCAGGUUCCUGGGCACCACAAUCUCUCAGGACCUAAAGUGGGACAUUCACAUUGACUCCAAAAAGGUCCAGCAGAUGUUGUACUUCCUUCGCCAGCUGAGGAAGCUCAACCUGCCACAGGAGCUGCUGAAACAGUUCUACUCUGCCAUCAUUGAAUCCAUCCUCUGCACUUCAAUAUCUGUCUGGUCCAGCUCAGCUACCAAAUCUGACCUCAGAAGACUACAGAGGAUAGUCCGGACUGCUGAGUGAAUCAUUGGUACAAACCUACCUUCUAUACAAGAACUGUACUCAUCCAGAGUGAGCAAAAGGGCUGGCAAAAUCACUCUGGACCCCUCACAUCCAGCACACUCCCUCUUUGAACUGCCGCCAUCUGGUCGACGCUACAGAGCUCUGCGCACCAGAACGACCAGACACAGGAACAGUUUCUUCCCCCAGGCAAUCCAUCUCAUGAACACUUGACAAUAACUGUGGAUCACACAACACUAUUUAUACACACAGACACUUAUUUAUCUAAGACACAUACUUAGUACAUACAAAACUGUCUAUUGUAAUAUACCUGCACAUACAAUUGUCAAUUUGUAUAUUGUUAUACCUUACUUACUUGUUCUAUAUUUUUUAUUCUUUUAUUAUCUGUGUUUUUUGUUCUGUCACUGUCAUUCUGUUGCACUGCAGAAGCUUCUGUCACGAAAACAAAUUCCUUGUAUGUGUAAACAUACCUGGCAAUAAAGCUCAUUCUGAUUCUGAUUCUGAUAUAUUAGCCUUCUUGAAUAUGUGCAUAUUCUGUUGCAUGCACAUUUUAGAUGUUCAAUAUCAGCCUUACACAGUGAGGCUCUCUCAAGUCGGUAAAAUAACGGGUUGUUUCUCACGGGUCUGUGAUGCCCAUUAAAGCUCUACAUGCACUAAUGCACUAACUAAUUUAAAAUCUGACCAACCUUUUGUACCUUCCCUUAAAAUAGGCCCAUAUGCACGGACGAGCACAUCUGCUUGAGAAUUUA
Cyprinus carpio carpio is the source of this 1377-nucleotide long non-coding RNA. The record is from Ensembl. NCBI's taxonomy places the organism in Eukaryota, Metazoa, Chordata, Actinopteri, Cypriniformes, Cyprinidae.